GGAUUGUGGCUCAGGGGUAGAGCGCUUGCCUACUAGCGUAUGUGAAGCACUGGGUUCGAUUCUCAGCACCA
RNAcentral lists this transfer RNA (71 nucleotides) under Marmota monax (woodchuck). RNAcentral's name for it is "tRNA.Ser". Lineage: Eukaryota; Metazoa; Chordata; Mammalia; Rodentia; Sciuridae. The record is from RNAcentral.